GCUAUGAUGACGUCUUGUGGCAUUGAUCUCUUGUGAGAUGAUUUUGCCCGUUUUGUCCUCUAAGAAGUUCUGAGCUU
Anguilla rostrata (American eel) is the source of this 77-nucleotide small nucleolar RNA. RefSeq annotates it as small nucleolar RNA SNORD61. The record is from RefSeq and is a predicted model, not a curated record. The transcript has a single exon. NCBI's taxonomy places the organism in Eukaryota, Metazoa, Chordata, Actinopteri, Anguilliformes, Anguillidae.